AUGACUUCAUCAGGCACUGCUAUCAUGGGGCACUGGUAACAAAUAAAUAUCACUUUGGAGGCCAUGUGCAGAUCAGAUUUGGAAGUGACCAAGACUGGAGGCAGGGACACCAGAGUUUUCUGUUAAAAACUGGUCCAUGCAAGAAAAGAUGACUCCUGAAAUAAGACAGUGAUCAUUAGGAUGAAGAGGAAGAGAAGAUUUGAGGAAUACUUAGAACAGAAUUUACUGAAUUUACUGGUUGAAUUGAAUGUGAAGAGGAGAUGAAUAAAGAAGAAAACACCCUCAAAGGAACAAAUAUGAAACAAUCUCUGGAAAAUGGAAUUUGAUUUUGAUUCAACAACAGGAGAAUUCUACUGUUUUUCUCCAGCAGCUCCACGAUAAAAGGGAACCCUGAGCAGAACACAUGCACAAACUCAUGCCAUACCCUAAGGGACAAGGUUCCCCACAUCUACUUGGAAAUCUUUGGGAUGCUCAAUGGAGAAAAACAAGGAGAGAAAAAUCUAAACCCAGCAGAAGAGAAAGUUUAAGAAAGCGGUCGUCGCCAAUACCAAAAUUAGCUAUGAUAUUCAGGAAGAAAAAAAUGGAAACACGAUAACCACAGUCAAUAAAGACCAAGGCCACAUUCCAUUGACCAGAGCUCAGCCACGCGCCACACCUGGCUAAAGAGACUCUGGCUGAAGAAUUCCCUGAAUAUUUUAAUGUAGCUCUAGGUUAUAACACAGAACAACCACAAGGUGGCAGAAGAACUCCAUUCUUGUAAAUCUCUUAGUUGCUUCUUUAUUUCAUCUUCCCUAUUCCAUCUAAUGUUCCCUGAAUUUUACUAUUUUGUUGGUUUGAAAAUAUGUGUGACUUACGUCCUUUAAAGGAUUUGGUUCGUAAGGUUUUGAAUAGACUGGAAUAUAAAACAUUUAUAGAAAAGAAAAAUACCUACAGUAUGAUGUUAGUGAACUAUUAAUAAUCCAAUUAAAUAAAAUAUAUUUGCUUUGGAUUAAUACAUAUUUUGUUUUGAUGUUUGCUAAAUAAAACUAAGCAUUAGGAGGCCAAAUAGCCACAAUGAACAUUUUCAUAUUAUUUAAUAAGCCAGUUUCAAGGCAUACAUGCUAAAUUUGUUCUUAAGGAAAAGUUGAAUUUUUGCUUUCAUGAAAUUACAAACUCUAAGGCAAUUUUACACGUGUAAAUCCAAUGUGUUCUGAAGUUUAAAGUGUCAAAGGCUGUUGGAUUUAAACAGAUCUUGUAUGACUCUCUGUUUCAUCUCUUCAGAGGUUGAUAGUAAGCAACUUUGGCAGCAACUCACAGCUUCUGCUGUAACAUGAGGCUAAUAAUGACGACUUUAUAAGGUUGUUGCAAAGAGUCAGGGAUGCCACAAGCAACGUUCUUUAUAUAUGCAGAAUUUUAAAAAUAAAGUAAAUAAAAAUAUUCCUUCCUCUAUUCCCCAUUUUUCUAACAUUAUUUGCAACUGGUGUUUUAAUGCAAGACCAAAGGCUAAAAUAUACAUGUAGCUAGCAGAAUCAAAACCUAGAUCAGAUGUUCAAAAGCAUCAUGCUGCUAAAAGAUUUCAGAGUCUAAAACCUGUGCUCACUCUUCUGAAACAUCUUUCCACUUCCUGUUUAAAAAAAAACGUGAUAUUCUUUGAAGCUCAUUUUUUGGGCUUCAUGUGUUGUAAUUAUACAUUUGUUAUAUAGGGUAUAUGAUGACUUACGCUCUAAGGUAUUAUUCAGUACAUUGUAGAAAAAGGAGAAUAAAGAAUGUUGUUUGUCAGUAGGCAGCUCUGUCCUCUUUAUCCUUGACUGUAAUUUACUAAAGAGCUGACAAAAUUACAGCACAGGCAGCAAUUCACCAUAUUACCCUGCAGACAGCCAAGAGACUGACAUUGAGAUGAUGCGUUUUAACUUGGGUCCAUGUAAGGAACCUGAUGGGGUUAUAUGAAUUCUUUUCUGUACUAUGAAAAAAUGAAGUUGCUAAUAAGAAGGAGGUACAAAAGUGUGUACUCUGCGCAAGGCUACUGAUAAAGAUGCUACAGGGAUGCGUGGAAACCCAAUAUGUAACACUGAAAUGGCUUUUGAUUCAUUUGUAUUUGGUCUCAGACAAGAAAAUAGAUUAAGAAAAGGUCUGAAAAAAUGGAGCACUAGGAAAAAUGAUAGGAAAUUUUGUGUUGUUGAUAGUUAUCUAAUAUGAAAUACACGUUUGUAAUAUUUUGACAUAUAUGAUUUAAUACAACUAUAUUUUGUAAUAAAUAUCUUUAAUUCUAAGGAUUGAAAAUCUUAAAAGGAUCUAAAUUUUAUAGUUAUAGCUGUUUUGUUUCAAUAGGCUGAUGGACUUGGAAAUUCCAGGUUUCUUAAACAUAUUCGAUGAACUUGAAAAGCAGGGGGAGAUACUUUCAGAUGGCCUUGAAUGGGAGCGGGGGGACCCUGGAUUUCACUGGACACAUCUUUCUUCCUUUCUUCUCUGUAGUUUGGGACCUCUUCUUCUCAACUAGUCAGCAAUUAUAAGAAUGAAAAUUACCAGCCGGGCGCGAUGGCUCACGCCUGUAAUCCCAGCCCUUUGGGAGGCCAAGGCGGGGGGAUCACGAGGUCAGAAGAUCGAGACCAUCCUGGCUAACACGGUGAAACCCCGUCUCUACUAAAAAAUACAAAGAAUCAGCCGGGCAUGGUGGCGGGUGCCUGUAGUCCCAGCUACUCAGGAGACUGAGGCAGGAGAAUGGUGUGAAUC
Molecule: long non-coding RNA, 2709 nt
Filed under: Homo sapiens (human)
Lineage: Eukaryota; Metazoa; Chordata; Mammalia; Primates; Hominidae
Description: HSALNT0403458
Source: RNAcentral